Molecule: ribosomal RNA, 68 nt
Filed under: Gagea flavonutans
Lineage: Eukaryota; Viridiplantae; Streptophyta; Magnoliopsida; Liliales; Liliaceae
Description: partial 5.8S ribosomal RNA
Source: RNAcentral
UCGAGUCUUUGAACGCAAGUUGCGCCCGAGGCCUUUGGGUCGAGGGCACGCCUGCCUGGGCGUCACGC